This 766-nucleotide ribosomal RNA is filed under the name uncultured soil bacterium. RNAcentral's name for it is "bacterial SSU rRNA". It matches the Rfam family "Bacterial small subunit ribosomal RNA", at positions 34 to 775 of the family's 1533-position model. The record is from RNAcentral.
CGCUGGCGGCGUGCCUAACACAUGCAAGUCGAACGUGAUUAGAGAGCUUGCUCUCUAUGAAAGUGGCGCACGGGUGAGUAACGCGUAGAUAAUCUACCUGAUGAUCCGGGAUAACACUUCGAAAGGGGUGCUAAUACCUGAUAAGCCCACGGAGUCCUUGGAUUCUGCGGGAAAAGGGGGGGACCUUUAUCGGCCUUCCGUCAUCAGAUGAGUCUGCGUACCAUUAGCUAGUUGGUAGGGUAAAGGCCUACCAAGGCUACGAUGGUUAGCUGGUCUGAGAGGAUGAUCAGCCACACUGGAACUGAGACACGGUCCAGACUCCUACGGGAGGCAGCAGUGGGGAAUUUUGCGCAAUGGGGGAAACCCUGACGCAGCAACGCCGCGUGAGUGAUGAAGGCCCUUGGGUCGUAAAGCUCUGACAGAGGGAAAGAAAUGUAGGGGGGCUAAUAUCCCCUUUACUUGACGGUACCCUCAAAGGAAGCACCGGCUAACUCCGUGCCAGCAGCCGCGGUAAUACGGGGGGUGCAAGCGUUGUUCGGAUUUAUUGGGCGUAAAGCGCGUGUAGGCGGUUUUAUAAGUCUGAUGUGAAAGCCCUGGGCUCAACCCGGGAAGUGCAUUGGAUACUGUAAGACUUGAAUACGGGAGAGGGCAGUGGAAUUCCUAGUGUAGGAGUGAAAUCCGUAGAUAUUAGGAGGAACACCGGUGGCGAAGGCGGCUGCCUGGACCGAUAUUGACGCUGAGACGCGAAAGCGUGGGUAGCAAACAG